RNAcentral lists this ribosomal RNA (468 nucleotides) under uncultured bacterium. RNAcentral describes it as "partial 16S ribosomal RNA". It matches the Rfam family "Bacterial small subunit ribosomal RNA", at positions 28 to 507 of the family's 1533-position model. The record is from RNAcentral.
GACGAACGCUGGCGGCGUGCUUAACACACGCAAGUCGAACGGAAAGGCCCUGCUUUUGUGGGGUGCUCGAGUGGCGAACGGGUGAGUAACACGUGAGUAACCUGCCCUUGACUUUGGGAUAACUUCAGGAAACUGGGGCUAAUACCGGAUAGGAGCUCCUGCUGCAUGGUGGGGGUUGGAAAGUUUCGGCGGUUGGGGAUGGACUCGCGGCUUAUCAGCUUGUUGGUGGGGUAGUGGCUUACCAAGGCUUUGACGGGUAGCCGGCAUGCGAGGGUGAACGGCGACAUUGGGACUGAGAUACGGCCCAGACGCCUACGGGAGGCAGCAGUGGGGAGUAUUGCACAAUGGGGGGAAGCCUGAGGCAGCAACGCCGCGUGCGGGAGGACGGACUUCGGGGUGUAAACAGCUUUCGCCUGUGACGAAGCGGGAGUGACGGUAACGGGUAAAGAAGCACCGGCUAACUACGUG